RNAcentral lists this ribosomal RNA (301 nucleotides) under uncultured bacterium. RNAcentral's name for it is "partial 16S ribosomal RNA". It matches the Rfam family "Bacterial small subunit ribosomal RNA", at positions 509 to 809 of the family's 1533-position model. The record is from RNAcentral.
CAGCAGCCGCGGGAAAACGGAGGGUGCAAGCGUUAAUCGGAAUUACUGGGCGUAAAGCGCACGCAGGCGGUCUGACAAGUCAGAUGUGAAAUCCCCGGGCUUAACCUGGGAACUGCAUUUGAAACUGUCAGGCUGGAGUCUUGUAGAGGGGGGUGGAAUUCCAGGUGUAGCGGUGAAAUGCGUAGAGAUCUGGAGGAAUACCGGUGGCGAAGGCGGCCCCCUGGACAAAGACUGACGCUCAGGUGCGAAAGCGUGGGGAGCAAACAGGAUUAGAUACCCGUGUAGUCCCUGUCUCUUAUAA